RNAcentral lists this ribosomal RNA (630 nucleotides) under Triticum aestivum (bread wheat). RNAcentral's name for it is "partial small subunit ribosomal RNA". Lineage: Eukaryota; Viridiplantae; Streptophyta; Magnoliopsida; Poales; Poaceae. The record is from RNAcentral.
AUGGCCUUCAUGAUUCCAGGACCUGGAAUCAUACCAGCUGAUGGGUGGUGGUUUAUCGCUCAUUCAGCUGACGGCGAUCAUUUGAUGCUCAUUCACACCACGACCCUCUUUUGUUGGAUAUUAUGUACUGUUGUUUGUUUGAAGCACUCCUCUGGUUUGAAGGAUAGAUACCUUCCUGGGAUCAAGUGCAUCCUAACUCACCUGCUACCAUAUAACUGGAAUUACCGAUGCAAGUCGAAGAAGGAUUGGCCCGUGCUGCCGGCCGGCGUCAAGUUCGAUGCCACAGAUCAGGAGCUGAUCGAGCACCUUGAGGCCAAAGUGAGUGCUGACAGCAUGAGAUUUCAGGCUCUCAUCGAUUUGUUCAUACCAACCAUCGACAGCGAGCACGACAUAUGUUACACCCAACCUGAGAAACUUCCAGGUAUCACACUGAGUGGCCUAAGGAAGCAUUUCUUCCAGCGCAAUUCCAGGGCAUUCAAAAGGGGCGCGUGGACGCGUCGCAAGAUACAGUCGGAGUGCGGCAUGCACGCGAUAUGGCACAAGACCGGCAAUACCUUGCCGGUGAUGGUCAACAGCCGGCAGACGGGCAGCAAAAAAGGUUCUGGUGCUGCACACCAACAAGAACUUUGA